This 192-nucleotide unclassified non-coding RNA is filed under the name uncultured Cladophialophora. RNAcentral's name for it is "sequence contains ITS1". The record is from RNAcentral. Lineage: Eukaryota; Fungi; Ascomycota; Eurotiomycetes; Chaetothyriales; Herpotrichiellaceae.
ACGAGUUAGGGUCUCCUAGGCCCGACCUCCCAACCCUUUGUUUACUGAACCACUGUUGCUUCGGCGGGCCCGUCUCACGACCGCCGGAGGAGCGCUGAAAAGCGUGUCCUCUGGCCCGUGUCCGCCGAUGGCCAACCACAAAACUCUGUAUAAAUCGUGUCUUAUGUCUAAGUCAAUGAUUAAAUUAAAGCA